GUGCCAGCCGCCGCGGUAAUACGGAGGAUACAAGCGUUAUCCGGAUUUAUUGGGUUUAAAGGGUGCGCAGGCGGACCGUUAAGUCAGGGGUGAAAAGUUCGGGCUCAACCUGAAUCGUGCCUUUGAUACUGGCGGACUAGAGUGCGAUAGGCGUGGCCGGAAUGUGGUGUGUAGCGGUGAAAUGCUUAGAUAUGCCACAGAACACCGAUCGAGAAGUCAGGUCACGAGUUCGCAACUGACGCUCAUGCACGAAAGCGUGGGGAUCAAACAGGAUUAGAUACCCUGGUAGUCCACGCCGUAAACGAUGAUCACUCGUUGUCGGGGGGCGACCCUCGGUGGCCAAGCGAAAGCGAUAAGUGAUCCACCUGGGGAGUACGAUCGCAAGGUUGAAACUCAAAGGAAUUGACGGGGGCCCGCACAAGCGGAGGAGCAUGUGGUUUAAUUCGAUGAUACGCGAGGAACCUUACCCGGGCUUGAACGUAACACCAACAUACAGGAGACUGUAUGGCCUUCGGGGGUGUUGCGAGGUGCUGCAUGGUUGUCGUCAGCUCGUGCCGUGAGGUGUUAGGUUAAGUCCUGCAACGAGCGCAACCCUUACCUUCAGUUGCCAGCACGUAAUGGUGGGGACUCUGGAGGAACUGCCUACGCAAGUAGAGAGGAAGGUGGGGAUGACGUCAAAUCAGCACGGCCCUUAUGUCCGGGGCUACACACGUGCUACAAUGGCGCACACAGAGGGCAGCGACCCUGCGAGGGGGAGCCAAUCCAUGAAAGUGCGUCUCAGUUCGGAUCGGAGUCUGGAACCCGACUCCGUGAAGUUGGAUUCGCUAGUAAUCGCGCAUCAGCCAUGACGCGGUGAAUACGUUCCCGGGCCUUGUACACACCGCCCGU
Molecule: ribosomal RNA, 888 nt
Filed under: uncultured bacterium
Lineage: Bacteria
Description: bacterial SSU rRNA
Rfam family: Bacterial small subunit ribosomal RNA
Source: RNAcentral